This 321-nucleotide long non-coding RNA is filed under the name Elaeis guineensis (African oil palm). Its description in RNAcentral is "long non-coding RNA (EGUI_LNC031852)". Lineage: Eukaryota; Viridiplantae; Streptophyta; Magnoliopsida; Arecales; Arecaceae. The record is from RNAcentral.
UCUUAUUGUAGCUAGAAAUCCUCCACAUCCCUUUCUUAGAAGCUUCCUAGCUAUAGAGUGGCGGCUAACAUUAAUAGGAGAUAUGACCCACUACUUGCAAAGCUAAAUUCUAGCUCGUUCGGAAUAUGAAAGUUCACUAUUUUCUUAAAACAUAUAGCAUGAUAUAUUGCUAGCCAUUAUAUAUCAAGAAUUAUAUUAAAAUUCCUCUUCUCCAACACUAGCAGGUCAACCACCCUCUCUCUAUCUGCAACACUAAGGGUGCAAGAUUUGCAAACAGAAUUCACCACAAUAAUAUCACCAUUCAGAGUAGAGACUCCUAGA